UUUUUUUUUAACGCUAUCAGGGGGAGUUUAGUUGGUAAUUAUUUCGUUUGCAUCAGUGGAGCUGCGUCAUAUAUUUGAAGCAGUAUUGCCCAUGUUGUAAAAUCUUCAUUUAUUUGUGUUUCCUAUCUCUGAAAACACACCAAAAAAAGGUUAUAGAUGAUGCUAAACAGGGAAGAUGGGGCACAAAAUCUAUCAACUUUGUUCUGUGCAAAAAUAUACUCCAAAAUAUUGUGAUUAUUCAUUAUUUAUGUUAGUCUGGAGGAAAAAAAACAUCCAAAUCCACAUUUUUCUACUUUUAGCAAAAUCAUUGAUGACUAGCUUAAUGAAUUUUAUCAAUUUGUUUAGAAAAUAUAAUUCUGUUUUCUAUAGUUUUGUUCAAUACUUGAUACUGAUUGGUUGAUGAUGCCAUUCUAUGAUGUGAUAUUUCUCUAUUUCUCUUCUCCAAACUGUAAAAUCUAAUGAAGCUAAUGGUUUCAUGAACGUCACUAGUCCUGCUUUCCCAUUUAUUUAUCAUUACAGUUAUGGAUGUUAGUGGUAAUUAUUCAUAGGUAUUGUUUUUAUUGCAUUAUUUCUACAUUUUGAGGGUGGAGAAAGAGCCAUAAAAACCCAAUGUCAUUGCAUUUUAUUGUACUUGUGCCCCAAAUGCAAACAAAUAAAUGCAAAUGUGACUAUUUUCUAAAGUUAGCGUUCGCAAUAUAAUCAGUUUAGCUGUUAAAUGCUAUCUUUUCCCAAAUGAUUGUUUCUUUAGUAAACAGCCAUGUAAUAAUCAGGAUCAUGUACAAUGGGAUGUGAUGCAGGACUUCAAUCACCUGUUGUAAAUUAUUUCCUAGGUGUUUUCAUUGGAACCAAGCAGCCAUAUUAGGUUAUAGAACCAACCUAAUCGACAUGUUCAGGAGUUUUUCCUUCCUAAUUUCCUU
Molecule: long non-coding RNA, 917 nt
Organism: Sphaeramia orbicularis (orbiculate cardinalfish)
Lineage: Eukaryota; Metazoa; Chordata; Actinopteri; Kurtiformes; Apogonidae
Exons: 2
Source: RefSeq, a predicted model, not a curated record